RNAcentral lists this microRNA (23 nucleotides) under Pristionchus pacificus. RNAcentral describes it as "ppc-miR-2237a". The record is from miRBase by way of RNAcentral. Lineage: Eukaryota; Metazoa; Nematoda; Chromadorea; Rhabditida; Neodiplogasteridae.
UACCCGUUGGUUUUCGGACAGUU